GAUGAAGAACGCAGCGAAAUGCGAUAAGUAAUGUGAAUUGCAGAAUUCAGUGAAUCAUCAAAUCUUUGAACGCACAUUGCGCCCGCCAGUAUUCUGGCGAGCAUGCCUGUUCGAGCGUCAUUUCAACCAUCAAGCCCCAGGCUUGUGUUGGAGCCCUGCGGCUGCCGCAGCCUCCCAAAACCAGUGGCGGGCUCGCUAUCACACCGAGUGCAGUAGUUUACUCUUCGCUCAGGGCGUGUGGCGGGUGCUAGCCGUGAAACCCCCAACUUCUCAAGGUUGACCUCGGAUCAGGUAGGAAUACCCGCUGAACUUAAGCAUAUCAAUAAGCGGAGGA
RNAcentral lists this unclassified non-coding RNA (334 nucleotides) under soil metagenome. RNAcentral describes it as "partial contains 5.8S ribosomal RNA, internal transcribed spacer 2, and large subunit ribosomal RNA". The stretch from base 1 to 120 matches the Rfam family "5.8S ribosomal RNA", at positions 35 to 154 of the family's 154-position model. The record is from RNAcentral.